This 479-nucleotide ribosomal RNA is filed under the name uncultured bacterium. RNAcentral's name for it is "partial 16S ribosomal RNA". It matches the Rfam family "Bacterial small subunit ribosomal RNA", at positions 28 to 507 of the family's 1533-position model. The record is from RNAcentral.
GAUGAACGCUAGCGGGAGGCCUAACACAUGCAAGCCGAGCGGUAGAGUUUCUUCGGAAACUUGAGAGCGGCGCACGGGUGCGUAACACGUGUGCAACCUACCUUUAUCUGGGGGAUAGCCUUUCGAAAGGAAGAUUAAUACCCCAUAAUAUAAUGAUUGGCAUCAAUUAUUAUUGAAAACUCCGGUGGAUAGAGAUGGGCACGCGCAAGAUUAGAUAGUUGGUGAGGUAACGGCUCACCAAGUCAAUGAUCUUUAGGGGUCCUGAGAGGGAGAUCCCCCACACUGGUACUGAGACACGGACCAGACUCCUACGGGAGGCAGCAGUGAGGAAUAUUGGACAAUGGGUGAGAGCCUGAUCCAGCCAUCCCGCGUGAAGGAUGACGGCCCUAUGGAUUGUAAACUUCUUUUGUACAGGGAUAAACCUACCCUCGUGAGGGUAGCUGAAGGUACUGUACGAAUAAGCACCGGCUAACUCCGUG